GUAUCUCUCUUUUUCCUCUCCCAGAUGGUUGGAGAUAGCAGCUCUCCAGUUGCCGACAUAGAACGGCUCCUGUUCUUUGUUUCCACUGGUGACCGGCAGAGCGGAUGGUGGCUUUUUUCAGUAGCGUUUCCAGGGAGGUCAGAGAGCAGGGUCAGCUACAGAGCAGUGUCAGCAACACCUUGCUCCAUACACACAUUCACACCUGGUUAAGUGCCUUGUUCAAGGACUCCUCCGCAGGGUGGAUGCUUUAUCACCACGGGGACUUAA
This is a long non-coding RNA of Perca flavescens (yellow perch), 267 nucleotides long. RefSeq lists it as uncharacterized. NCBI's taxonomy places the organism in Eukaryota, Metazoa, Chordata, Actinopteri, Perciformes, Percidae. The record is from RefSeq and is a predicted model, not a curated record. The transcript is spliced from 3 exons.